This is a long non-coding RNA of Mytilus californianus (California mussel), 618 nucleotides long. RefSeq lists it as uncharacterized. The transcript is spliced from 3 exons. The record is from RefSeq and is a predicted model, not a curated record. NCBI's taxonomy places the organism in Eukaryota, Metazoa, Mollusca, Bivalvia, Mytilida, Mytilidae.
UUUAAAGAAAAUGUGAGUUCAGUUAAAAUAAUACGGGAAUAAAACUCUGUUGAAACAUAUAUUUAAGACAUAAAAGACAUUGAUAAAUUGCUGUAUAUAAGUACCUAAUGUGCUUUAUAGAUUCAUAUUUAUUCCUUUGCAAUCGUUUACAGUAAUGAAACCUGAGGAAUCGGAAAACAAUCGAAGUAUGAACGAGUAUGAACCAGUUGUUGUAAAAGAAGUUGUAAAGGUAGACAAAGAAACAGUAGGACAAAUCUCUUCAUAUGACAACAUCCAGAUCAAAGGAAUAAGUGAACACAAUGGACAACAGAGACCCGACAGAGAAACAGCUGAAUAUGAGAAUUUAGUCAUUUUUAGAAAAUAGAUAUUUUAGAAUCAAUUGACGUUUUAUGUCUUGACGGUGCUUUAUAAUUGUGCUUUACUUUUGAUGGAAUAUUGUUAGAAUUUCAAAAUCAAUUUAAAUAGCUGUAAUGCGCAUCUUUCAUUUUUGACACUUUAUUUAACUUUCUUCUUAAUAUUUUCAUAUGAUCUUGAGUAAAAUUAACAGAAAAAGGCCACAUUACGGCGAUUAUAUGUUUGACACAGUAUUACUUGAUUGACUAUAAUAUAAAUUAACAU